CGAAAGUUAGAGGUUCGAAGGCGAUCAGAUACCGCCCUAGUUCUAACCAUAAACGAUGCCAGCCAGCGAUCCGGCUGUGUUCCUCAAAUGACACGCCGGGCAGCUUCCGGGAAACCAAAGCUUUUGGGUUCCGGGGGAAGUAUGGUUGCAAAGCUGAAACUUAAAGGAAUUGACGGAGGGGCACCACCAGACGUGGAUGUUGCGGUUCAAUUUGACUCAACGCAGCAAAUCCUACCAGGCCAGGACACAGGAAGGAUUGACAGAUUGAGAGCUCUUUCUUGAUUCUGUGGGUGGUGGUGCAUGGCCGUUCCUGGUUCGUGGAGCGAUUUGUCUUGUUUAUUCUGAUAACGGACGAGAUUCUAGCCUACUAAAUAGACGCUUCGAUCCUUCGAGUCGAGCGUUCUUCUUAGAGGGACAGGCGGUGUUUAGCCGCACGAGGCAGAGCAAUAACAGGUCUGUAAUGCCCUUAGAUGUCCUGGGCCACACGCGUCCUACAUUGAAGGAAUCAACGUGUGCUUUCCCUGUCCGAAGGGACUGGGUAACCCGUUGAACCUCCUUCGUGCUGGGGAUAGGAAAUUGUAAUUAUUUUCCUUGAACGAGGAACUUCUAGUAAGCGCGAGUCAUCAUCUCGGGUUGAUUAGGUCCCUGCCCCUUGUCCACACCGCCCGUCGCUAUUACCGAUUGAAUGAUUUAGUGAGGUCUUCGGACUGGCGCUCGGAUUGGCUUUCGGGUCGAGCCGGCGUGCCGGAAAGAUGACCGAACUUGACCAUUUAGAGGAAAUAAAAGUCGUAACAAGG
Molecule: ribosomal RNA, 797 nt
Filed under: Eldonnia sp. LT-2015
Lineage: Eukaryota; Metazoa; Arthropoda; Arachnida; Araneae; Linyphiidae
Description: SSU rRNA
Rfam family: Eukaryotic small subunit ribosomal RNA
Source: RNAcentral